AGACAUGUUGAUUUGGAUGGGUGGAUUCGGAGUGCUGAUGCUAGCUCGAGGAGCGUCAUGGGUUGCUUGUGGUCGUGAAUGACGUCAGGGAUGCGGAGUUGGAGCGCGCAUUUGAGCGACAUGGAAGAGAUGAAGUUGAAGGUGUGAUUAUAGAGGUGGGAUUGAGCUUGGAACAUCUCUUUGGCUUCAUGAGAGUGGCUGAGAUGAUGCACGGUUUUGUUGUGAACAAGUCUGGAUGAAUCGGGGGUGACUCGGUUGUGAUGGUAGAGGGAGAAAUUCCUGGUUCUGUAAAGAAGUCGCUGGUAUAACUUGAUAGACAUGGCUUUUUGCUUGCUUGAGAGGCGGGUUGACGAUUGAAUAUGGCUUUAUGCAAGAGACUAUAUAUUCUCUUGAGUGAAGCGUGUAUAAAAAAAGCUAUUAUUUGGACAUUGGUUUGACCAAUUCCAAGUACAUGCCAUAAAAAACCAAUUAAAAAUGGACCUUAUUAGUCGACUAGAAGUGAUAUGAUAGGAGGAGUUUCUAGUAAACAAACAGGAAUAGUAGCUAAGAGAUAGAGAUCAAAGAGAUGCACGAUGAGAUAGAUUCUACCAGACAGUCUUGAGGUAGAGUGGGAAAGUGAAAGCUCACCGGUUUUUGAAAGUUUUCAAGAUCAAACAACAUCGAAGGACCACGUGAUCUUGUGACUUUUCGUUAUACGUACUUUCAAAGUUCCAUGUCCUUUUUUCUUUUGGUUGCCUAAUCACAUUUUCCUAACGUUACUUUGACAAAUUUACCCGGAUAUACCUACUUUUCAAAUUGAAUAAUGAAUGACAUCCUAAUUUAAGUUUACAAUACAAGUAAAGUUAAAUGAUAUAAAUGAUUCAUAAACUUCAGCUUAAUAUAUAAUAUCAUAUUUGAACUUUUAAUUUAUUUAUUAUAAUAUCUAGAAAAACAACAUUAAAUAUUUAUGUAUCAAAAGUCCAAUAACCACAUUGAAUAAAUUUAAAGUUUUUGAAUUAUAUUGCACAUUAAGAAAAAAUUCAUAAAUCAUUUGUGUCAUUCUUUUUAAGUAAAAUAAUUUUAGACAUACAAAGACAUUUCUACUAAAUUCAUUUAUCGAGUCAUGUGACAUAGUCAUUUUCGGGUGCUUAAAUGGGCACAUUAAUAUAAGUUACUGUUACAAAAGUGCCGCAUCACUUAGUUGACAAGUCAAAGUAUCCCUACCAUUGCUUUAUUAGACGAUAACAUAUAAUAUUUUUAAUAUUGAAGAUGACUCACUUGUUAAUUGACUACUUUAAUUUGUCACAUCAUUUAACCAACCAAUAUAUCAAAAUUCCACACAAUGCUGCUUUUCAGUCAUGUAAGAACCUAAGUUUAGUAAAAUGAGAUAAAAAGUUAGGUUCUAGAGCAAGCCAUGUAGGCGUGUAAAAUGAAGGCUUCACGCAUAGGUAUCCUUUGACCAAUUAUUACCUAAAGAUAUGGGGCCCAAAAUAAGGGGUCAGGUUAGUUUAAUUCCCCGAAAAAUAUACUUUUAUUAUUAGGCCGCGUUGAAUGUAAAAUUGUUUUUACACAUUAAUCUGUAUACAGUCAUAUAAAUCUACAAACAUUAAUAAUCUGUAAGCAUAUACCAUAUAAAAUAUCAAGCAAGAUUUAGUACAAGUUCUUAGCACGUACAUAGUAGGACUCUUAAUGAAAUCACAUGCAGCGCUUGCAAAUAGGCACAAUUUCAAACCCUAAGGAAAGACUUCAAUGAGAGACCUUAAUUCAAACAUAGGAGUUAUCUUGUACCGUCUGAAACCAGCCUCCAAGAAAAGUUUUUCCCACUCUUUCUCAGUCCUCUCUCUUCCAGGGCCUACCGUCAUCAUCAGCAUAUCACAGAAAAGCUUUGUCGCAGUUGUUUGGGCAUCAUCAUCCUCGGUCUUGCCUAUCACAAUGUCCAUGAUCAUCACCUUCCCUCGCUCCUCGUUCUUCCCAGCGAUCGCUUCUUUGCAUUUUCUCAGCACCUUGACACAGUCCUCAUCGCUCCAACCGUGAAACAGCAACUAUAUCAUCAGCAGAUACAUCCAAUUACUUAAGAGAAACUAUGCAACAGAAGAAGACUUAUGGUCUCCGAAAUUGCCAUACGUAGAAGUGAGGUCCCUUCCGUAGGGUUCUUCAGAUUUAUGAGUCGGCAAAUCUUGAUUAGAUGAGAUAUGAUAGAGAAGAGAGAAAAGUGCUGCAAAAAAGUAAUUGGUGCACGCUUAUAGAUUCACGUGCUUCUAUACAGCACAGUCCUUUAAUCGAAUGGAUCACUAAUUCUUAACUCAUUUUAAAUAAGCUCAAGGCAUGCUUUGUCAAGAGGUUUAGUGAAUAUCAACUAAUUGAUGCUCUAACCAAAAAAAAAAAAAAAAACUAAUUGAUGCUUUCAGUCAACAUAUACUUCCAUUGUAGACAUGACUACAAAUUUAAUGAUGAUGUAGGUACACUUGGCUCCGAGCAAAGUAUGAGAUUUUUCGUUAGAUAAAUCGCACAAGUAUUUAUCACACAUGAGAGGAUAUUGUACUUUUAAUCUAGCAACAAGAUCAUAAGUUUCAUAUAAUCAUUUUUUUAACUUCUUGGGAACACAUGUAUGCUAUAGUUUGACAAUGAAUUGAAUCUAGCAUACAGUUUUUUUUUUUUUUUAAUAAAUCAAUGUCCUAUAUUGGGCAAUCUUUAUGAAAAUGAAAACUACGUAUCGGAGAUGCCGAAUUAGUUUCUUUCCAAAUAAUCAGAAGCAAUCAACCUAUUGUGCAAAUUAAUAUCCACAUCUAAUUUAUGACAGUAAAAUGCUAUAGUGCAUACCUUGAGCAAAACAGCAUCUGCAGAAGGGAUGGACUCAAACAUAUCACCACCAACGAACUUCACAUUCUCACUCUCUGGCAAGCUAGCAACCACGUGCGGGAGAUCAAGCACCGUGCACUUCAAACCCGGACACACGUCAGAGAUUAUCCUUGCCAUGGCUCCCGUGCCGCCUCCGACAUCCACCAAAGAAUUUAUCCCUUCAAAGGUCUCUUUGUAAUCCUUAAUUAUCAAAUUCAUCAACUGAGAAUCACCAGCCAUUGCUCUAUUGAAUGUAUUCCCAAAUUCGGGAUUCUUCCUCCCAUAGUCCCAUAUAUUGACUCCAUGCGUAGCUUCAAAAGAAUUGUUUAAUUUGUCUCUACAAUCAUCAUGGUUAUUUCCUUGAAGCCAAUCUCCAAGAAAAUGCCAAGGACUCACAAGAGCCGGAUCAAGCAUGAUCGCCACAAACGGCGAGAGCCCCUUGACCUUAUCAUUCAGAAGCAAACACGAAGGUGGUGUCAAGACUUAAGCCUUAAUUUCUUCUUCUUCUUCUCCAUUCUUGGGAACAAGCGUCUCUCCAAAAAUGCCCGAGUGAACCAAAACACGCAUGAGGCGGUAAAGACAAGUCAUUUUGGACGGGUGGAUUUGGAGCGCUGAGGCUAGCUCAAGGAGGGUCAUGGGUCGCUUGUGGUCGUGUAUGACAUCGGGGAUGCGGAGUUGGACUGCGCAUUUGAGAGACAUGGAAGAGAUGAAGUUGAAGGUGUGAUUGUAGAGGUGGGAUUGAGCUUGGAACAUCUCUUUGGCUUCUUGAGAACGACUGAG
This 3597-nucleotide long non-coding RNA is filed under the name Eucalyptus grandis. RNAcentral's name for it is "long non-coding RNA (EGRA_LNC003016)". Lineage: Eukaryota; Viridiplantae; Streptophyta; Magnoliopsida; Myrtales; Myrtaceae. The record is from RNAcentral.